This 466-nucleotide ribosomal RNA is filed under the name uncultured bacterium. Its description in RNAcentral is "partial 16S ribosomal RNA". It matches the Rfam family "Bacterial small subunit ribosomal RNA", at positions 28 to 507 of the family's 1533-position model. The record is from RNAcentral.
GAUGAACGCUGGCGGCGUGCUUAACACAUGCAAGUCGAACGAUGAAGCCCAGCUUGCUGGGUGGGUUAGUGGCGAACGGGUGAGUAACACGUGAGUAACCUGCCCUUAACUCUGGGAUAAGCCGGGGAAACUGGGUUAAUUACGCGAUAUCUGCGUCCACGGAAGGGGGGGUUUUGGAAAGAUUGAUCGGUUUUGGAUGGCCUCGCGGCCUAUCAGCUUUUUGGUGGGGUAAGGGCUCACGAAGGCGACGACGGGUAGCCCGCCUGAGAGGGUGACCGGGCACACUGGGACUGAGACACGGACCAGACUCCUACGGGAGGCAGUAGUGGGGACUCUUGCACAAUGGGCGCAAGCCUGAUGAAGCGACGCCGGGUGAGGGAAGACGGCCUUCGGGUUGAAAACCUCUUUAAGUUAAGACGAAGCGAAAGUGACGGUACCUGAAGAAGAAGCACCGGCUAACUACGUG